Phodopus roborovskii (desert hamster) is the source of this 103-nucleotide small nuclear RNA. Lineage: Eukaryota; Metazoa; Chordata; Mammalia; Rodentia; Cricetidae. The record is from RefSeq and is a predicted model, not a curated record.
UUGUUUUGGCAACUUGCACACAAAAUUUGGAAAAAUACAAAUAAGAUCAGCAUAACCCCUGCAUAAGGAUGAAGGGUAAAUUUCUGAAGCAUUCCAUAGUAGG